UGGGGGAUAUUGGACAAUGGGGGGAACCCUGAUCCAGCGAUGCCGCGUGAGGGAAGAAGGUUUUCGGAUUGUAAACCUCUGUGGAGGGGGACGAUAAUGACGGUACCCCUCAAGGAAGCCACGGCUAACUACGUGCCAGCAGCCGCGGUAAUACGUAGGUGGCGAGCGUUGUCCGGAAUUACUGGGUGUAAAGGGAGUGUAGGCGGGAAUGCAAGUCAGAAGUGAAAAUUACGGGCUCAACCCGUAACCUGCUUUUGAAACUGUAUUUCUUGAGUGAAGUAGAGGCAAGCGGAAUUCCAAGUGUAGCGGUGAAAUGCGUAGAUAUUUGGAGGAACACCAGUGGCGAAGGCGGCUUGCUGGGCUUUUACUGACGCUGAGGCUCGAAAGCGUGGGGAGCAAACAGG
Molecule: ribosomal RNA, 404 nt
Filed under: uncultured bacterium
Lineage: Bacteria
Description: bacterial SSU rRNA
Rfam family: Bacterial small subunit ribosomal RNA
Source: RNAcentral